AGCUCUGUGGUGAAGUUCAUAUCAGAUUGCAAAUCUGAGGAUAUAUCUUAGUAAUGGUAUCGGAGCUU
This 68-nucleotide transfer RNA is filed under the name Myuchelys georgesi (Bellinger river turtle). Its description in RNAcentral is "tRNA-Cys". The record is from RNAcentral. Lineage: Eukaryota; Metazoa; Chordata; Testudines; Chelidae.